CACCAAGAACCAAACUGUGCUGGCACCCUGAUCUUGGACUCCCAGUCUCUAGCACAGUGAGAAAUAAAUGUCUGUUGAUUAAGCCACCCAUCUAUGGCAUCUUUAUUAUAAGUAGCCCAAACUGACAAGGACAAUUGGUGACCCUGGCUCCAGCAGAUUCAGUGAAGUGUCAGUACAGAAAUCAGAGAAUACCUGACUGGGGAGUGAAUAUUAGGUGAAGAGGUAGAGACAAGUGUAAAUUCAGAAAAAUUUGGCAGUGAAGGGAGAGGCAGAGAA
RNAcentral lists this long non-coding RNA (276 nucleotides) under Homo sapiens (human). RNAcentral's name for it is "non-protein coding lnc-ARF5-10:1". Lineage: Eukaryota; Metazoa; Chordata; Mammalia; Primates; Hominidae. The record is from RNAcentral.